RNAcentral lists this ribosomal RNA (226 nucleotides) under uncultured Staphylococcus sp. Its description in RNAcentral is "partial 16S ribosomal RNA". It matches the Rfam family "Bacterial small subunit ribosomal RNA", at positions 114 to 334 of the family's 1533-position model. The record is from RNAcentral. Lineage: Bacteria; Bacillati; Bacillota; Bacilli; Caryophanales; Staphylococcaceae.
CACGUGGAUAACCUACAUAUAAGACUGGGAUAACUUCGGGAAACCGGAGCUAAUACCGGAUAAUAUUUUGAACCGCAUGGUUCAAAAGUGAAAGACGGUCUUGCUGUCACUUAUAGAUGGAUCCGCGCUGCAUUAGCUAGUUGGUAAGGUAACGGCUUACCAAGGCAACGAUGCAUAGCCGACCUGAGAGGGUGAUCGGCCACACUGGAACUGAGACACGGUCCAG